AAGUCGUAACAAGGUUUCCGUAGGUGAACCUGCGGAAGGAUCAUUAAUGAAAUACAAGGACGCUCUUUUUGAGAGGUCCCGAAAUAUUACAUUUCCUUCUACCCCUGUGCACAAACUGUUUUUCACACCUUUUUAAAACACAUAAGUUAAGAAUGUAACAGUCUCUUAAAUUGAGCAUAAAUUAUUAAAA
Molecule: unclassified non-coding RNA, 190 nt
Filed under: plant metagenome
Description: partial contains small subunit ribosomal RNA and internal transcribed spacer 1
Rfam family: Eukaryotic small subunit ribosomal RNA (bases 1-46)
Source: RNAcentral